UCUCAUGGCCACUGACCUGUUCUGAG
This 26-nucleotide unclassified non-coding RNA is filed under the name Mus musculus (house mouse). Its description in RNAcentral is "oocyte_clustered_small_RNA12410". Lineage: Eukaryota; Metazoa; Chordata; Mammalia; Rodentia; Muridae. The record is from RNAcentral.